Molecule: ribosomal RNA, 305 nt
Filed under: uncultured bacterium
Lineage: Bacteria
Description: bacterial SSU rRNA
Rfam family: Bacterial small subunit ribosomal RNA
Source: RNAcentral
GGUGUCCUACGGGGCGCAGCAGUGAGGAAUAUUGGUCAAUGGUCGGGAGACUGAACCAGCCAAGCCGCGUGAGGGAGGAAGGUACAGAGUAUCGUAAACCUCUUUUGUCAGGGAACAAAGACUGGGACGCGUCCCCGGAUGAGUGUACCUGAAGAAAAAGCAUCGGCUAACUCCGUGCCAGCAGCCGCGGUAAUACGGAGGAUGCGAGCGUUAUCCGGAUUUAUUGGGUUUAAAGGGUGCGCAGGCGGUCUGUUAAGUCAGCGGUCAAAGCCCGGGGCUCAACCCCGGCCCGCCGUUGAAACUGG